AUUGGGAGCUUGCUUUUGAUUAUUUUAGCGGCGGACGGGUGAGUAACGUGUGGGUAACCUGCCUUUUACUGGGGAAUAAUCACUGGAAACGGUGACUAAUACCGCAUACGGUUCUUGGAAGGCAUCUUCUGAGAAAGAAAGGAUUUAUUCGGUAAAAGAUGGGCCCGCAUCUGAUUAGCUAGUUGGUGAGAUAACAGCCCACCAAGGCGACGAUCAGUAGCCGACCUGAGAGGGUGACCGGCCACAUUGGGACUGAGACACGGCCCAAACUCCUACGGGAGGCAGCAGUGGGGAAUAUUGCACAAUGGGCGAAAGCCUGAUGCAGCAACGCCGCGUGAAGGAAGACGGUUUUCGGAUUGUAAACUUCUAUCAAUAGGGAAGAAAGGAAUGACGGUACCUAAAUAAGAAGCCCCGGCUAACUACGUGCCAGCAGCCGCGGUAAUACGUAGGGGGCAAGCGUUAUCCGGAAUUACUGGGUGUAAAGGGAGAGUAGGCGGCAAGGUAAGCGAUAUGUGAAAGCCUUAGGCUUAACCUGAGGAUUGCAUAACGAACUAUCUAGCUAGAGUACAGGAGAGGAAAGCGGAAUUCUUAGUGUAGCGGUGAAAUGCGUAGAUAUUAGGAAGAACACCAGUGGCGAAGGCGGCUUUCUGGACUGAAACUGACGCUGAGGCUCGAAAGCGUGGGGAGCGAACAGGAUUAGGUACCCUGGUAGUCCACGCUGUAAACGAUGAGUGCUAGGUGUCGGGGAGGAAUCCUCGGUGCCG
Molecule: ribosomal RNA, 764 nt
Filed under: uncultured bacterium
Lineage: Bacteria
Description: bacterial SSU rRNA
Rfam family: Bacterial small subunit ribosomal RNA
Source: RNAcentral